GAUGAACGCUGGCGGCGUGCCUAAUACAUGCAAGUCGAGCGAACAGACGAGGAGCUUUCUCCUCUGACGUUAGCGGCGGACGGGUGAGUAACACGUGGAUAACCUACCUAUAAGACUGGGAUAACUUCGGGAAACCGGAGCUCAUACCGGAUAAUAUAUUGAACCGCAUGGUUCAAUAGUGAAAGACGGUUUUGCUGUCACUUAUAGAUGGAUCCGCGCCGCAUUAGCUAGUUGGUAAGGUAACGGCUUACCAAGGCAACGAUGCGUAGCCGACCUGAGAGGGUGAUCGGCCACACUGGAACUGAGACACGGUCCAGACUCCUACGGGAGGCAGCAGUAGGGAAUCUUCCGCAAAGGGCGAAAGCCUGACGGAGCAACGCCGCGUGAGUGAUGAAGGUCUUCGGAUCGUAAAACUCUGUUAUUAGGGAAGAACAAAUGUGUAAGUAACUAUGCACGUCUUGACGGUACCUAAUCAGAAAGCCACGGCUAACUACGUG
This 497-nucleotide ribosomal RNA is filed under the name uncultured bacterium. RNAcentral's name for it is "partial 16S ribosomal RNA". It matches the Rfam family "Bacterial small subunit ribosomal RNA", at positions 28 to 507 of the family's 1533-position model. The record is from RNAcentral.